RNAcentral lists this ribosomal RNA (484 nucleotides) under uncultured bacterium. RNAcentral's name for it is "partial 16S ribosomal RNA". It matches the Rfam family "Bacterial small subunit ribosomal RNA", at positions 30 to 507 of the family's 1533-position model. The record is from RNAcentral.
AUUGAACGCUGGCGGCAGGCCUAACACAUGCAAGUCGAGCGGAUGAAGGGAGCUUGCUCCUGGAUUCAGCGGCGGACGGGUGAGUAAUGCCUAGGAAUCUGCCUGGUAGUGGGGGAUAACGUCCGGAAACGGGCGCUAAUACCGCAUACGUACUGAGGGAGAAAGUGGGGGAUCUUCGGACCUCACGCUAUCAGAGGAGCCUAGGUCGGAUUAGCUAGUUGGUGGGGUAAAGGCCUACAAAGGCGACGAUCCGUAACUGGUCUGAGAGGAUGAUCAGUCACACUGGAACUGAGACACGGUCCAGACUCCUACGGGAGGCAGCAGUGGGGAAUAUUGGACGAUGGGCGAAAGCCUGAUCCAGCCAUGCCGCGUGUGUGAAGAAGGUCUUCGGAUUGUAAAGCACUUUAAGUUGGGAGGAAGGGCAGUAAGUUAAUACCUUGCUGUUUUGACGUUACCAACAGAAUAAGCACCGGCUAACUUCGUG